AGCUCAUCCAAGAACAUGCAAAGACCAACAUAUCAUCUUAUGGACGUCUAUGUGAGGUCGUGGAUCAUGUCUUCCCUCUUCUGAUAAGAGGGAACACCGCCGACUUCCCCUGUUCAGACAUCUUCAGCCAGUUCACCUUCUGGAGAGAGCAGUUACCAGAGGUAGACAAGCAGGAUCAACAUGCCGAGAGCAGCUGAAAGGACAUAC
Sinocyclocheilus anshuiensis is the source of this 207-nucleotide long non-coding RNA. RefSeq lists it as uncharacterized. The record is from RefSeq and is a predicted model, not a curated record. The transcript has 2 exons. Lineage: Eukaryota; Metazoa; Chordata; Actinopteri; Cypriniformes; Cyprinidae.